GGGCAGGUGGUGGAACGGCAGACACGUACGGUUCAGGGCCGUAUGCCGAAAGGCGUGAGGGUUCAAAUCCCUCCCUGCCCA
This 81-nucleotide transfer RNA is filed under the name bacterium. RNAcentral describes it as "tRNA-Leu". It matches the Rfam family "tRNA". Rfam says of the family: Transfer RNA (tRNA) molecules are approximately 80 nucleotides in length. Their secondary structure includes four short double-helical elements and three loops (D, anti-codon, and T loops). The record is from RNAcentral.